GGUCGCUGCCGGUCCCGUCCCUGUGGGGGUGUGGGGCGUGGAGGAGCGUCCGAGCACGUUCCAUAGUAGUUUUUACCCACUUCCCAGUUCGGUCUCUGAAGAGGGGGGGGGAAAUGCUGCAGCUUCGACAAUAGUUUUGCUUAGAACAAAGCCAGGGAUUUGGAAUCUGAGGCUGGGGGUGGCGGGUGAGGAGUCGGGGGGGCGGCCAAGGUUUGAACCGACCCCGCCCCGGCCCCACAUUUGAGCCGCAAACCGAUGCCGUUUCCUGGGGCUGGGCUGUGUGUAGAGGCUGCCUUCCUGGGGGGAGGGGAGAACAAUACCGCCUGAAAAUCCACAAGUCGUGGAAUCUGGGGGCGGGGUGUAUUCGCGGAAAAUAAAUUGCAAGAUAGAGCCAGUGGUUAUCUUGGCGUUCAGUCGAUUGAUCUUCAGACUUCCCAGCCAGCGAGCUGCACACUGCAGUGCGAAAGCAGGAAACGCAUUACGUCAGAAGAGACAAGAGACCCAAGUUGCAACGGUUGCAUCUGCAGGGCUGGCUCUUUCUCCUCGGAGAGGUUCCGCGGGGCUCGGGCCCUGGGUGCUUGCCCGGGCGCGGCGCUGCGCGCUUUCACGCAAAGGGCCAGGAGCUGGCGGCAGCCGGGGGACCCCUGGCCUGGGUGCCCUGAGCGCCAGCCCCGGGCCGCCGCACGUUGCCCUUCCCGGCAGGCUCAUUUAGAGCCACAACAAAUUCCUUUUAAAGAUAGCCCCGCGCUUAGCUGGAUGUCCUAAAUUCCAGGAAGGACGGGGUGAGGAACCGCACCAAGUGUCACUGCCGUCCUGAGUUUAGUGUGAGAAGGGAAGCAGGUGGCGGAAUCCCAGCUGUGUGCGGAGCUGGACCGGUUCUCCACACCUUGUCAGUUACCUCGUUUCUCGGUGUUGAUGGACAUGUCACAAGAAACUUGUUCUCCGCCACGGACCUAGCUCCUGAGGCCUUGUCACUGCUUCUCAGAAAUCACUUGAGGACGAACAUGAAGCAGGAGAAUAAUUGUGAAUUAGUACAUUCUGUCUCUUGGAAAACGUUAAGGAGUUUGAUACUAGCCUCACCUGCUCCCUCACUCAGCUGCUCCCUGGCUCGGGGUCAUUACAAAGUAAUCUCAGUAACCGGUCCUCCCAGGCUCGAGGUCCACUCCACCCGUGAGCAAAGUUUUGCACAAAAACGGUGGUAACAAGGGCUAAUGAUGAUUAUUGUUCUGUGCUAGGCAGCAUGCUGAGAGCUUUGGCGGACUGUCUUGUUUAAUUCUUAGGAUAGCUGUGUGAGGUGAGUACUAUUACCCUCAUUUUACAGAUAAGGAAACAGAUUCGGAGAAUCGAUGUGUUCUCCCUGGGUGGGAACCAGGCACUACCUGUGGGGGCGGGGAGAUUACUUUGAUCAGGGGACUUUCCAGGCUCACCUCAAGUCAUACCAGGAAGACAAGAUUUUUCAUUCAUCCCUGCUGUCAACUACAGUAAACCUAGUCCUAGUUAAACAGGGUGGGUGUCAGGGGUCAUGCUUAAUCCUCUAGAGCAAGAGAAACUGCUCUGGAACACCUAAAUUAUUUAAGCCAAUUUUCUCAUUGCCCUGAGUUUGAUACGGUAUCUUAAAAAGUCAUUUAAUGGUUAAAUUUAAUAUAGCCCUUCAUUCCUAGCUCAGGCCAUUGGAUAAUGUCAGACAGAACCUGUUAUUGUUGAACAUGUAGGGAACCUAAAGGAACUGAGUGAGUUCCCAUGUAAGUUAGGAGUGGAGCCAUGUUCAGAAUUAGCUGUUAGCCUAGGUCAGGGUCGGGUGAGUCCUGUUUUUGCUUUUCCUUUUGGUUGUCUUUUCCCUCAUCACUGUCAUCUAGGCAGGAGAGAGCUAGGGAAGGGAAACUGGUCUGUGACUGGUGUCUGAAAAGGGAAAUUCAAAUGAGGACAAGUUCAGGGGGAGGAGGUUAUUCCUGUGUGCAUCAUUACGAUUUUAUGUAAUAGAAACAAGUGAUUUGAAAGCCAGGCACCCGAUAGAAGUUGAAGGCCAGUUGUGCCCCAUCCCAGAUGGAAGGCCUUAGACCAGCUGUGGAGGGUGAGACCCAGUUUCCUCAUCUGUGAAGUGGCAGCCUUGCCCCUAACGUUCCCCUCUGCUGUCAACUCUGCCUCCUCUAGUCUUCUGCAGGCUGGUGUUUCUCAAAGUUCUCUCCUAGGGCCAGUCUCUUCAGCACACUCUCCUGGAUGAUUUUACCCAGGUCAUGGCCCUUUUUACUGUUUGAAGUCUUUGUCCCUUGCCCAGGUAUCUUUCCUGAGCUCCAGAUCUGUAUACAGAACAUCUCCACGUGGACACCUCAAAUUAAAUGUUCCAAACUGAACUGCUCUUUAUCUGUUUCCCAGGCGCCUAUGACGAAAGAUAGGCCCUGCCUCUGCACAUCCCCACCCAGUUAUUCAAGCCAAAGCCUGGCUAAUUCCCCUUUCCCUGAUUGUGUUGGUUAUACAGUCAAUGAAUGGCCAUCUCCUAGGUCAGGUUGUCAGCUGCCUUCUGGCUACCAGCCCCAAAAACCUCCACCGUGCAGCCGGAACCCCUCCCUUGGUCCUCUUCAGUGGCUCCCAUUGCACUCAGAGUGAAGUGUGGCACGGGUUUCAGAGCCACUCAAGAUCGUGCUCAGACCUAGGUCUCUAGCUUCUCCCCUCGAUGGCACUCCACCUUUCAGCCAUUCUUAAAUUCUUUCAAUUCUUCUAAUGGUGCCAGAUUCUUUUGUUGUUUCCCUGAGCUUCAGCAGAGGCUGUUCUGAAAAUGCUGCUGCACCUCAUCCCCGUGCCCCUUCUCCUGACGAAAAGCUCCUACUCUUUCAGUUCUCCUCUGUCACUUCCUCCAGAAAGCUCUUUGGCCUCCACCCAAUUCCACGGGCGCACAAAGAACUGUGCUUUCCCAUCACAGUGCCGAUGCACUGUGUCCUGAGUGUCUUUUAACUGUGCUGAAUCUAAGUCCUUAUUUAGGUAGUGGGGGAGUGCAUCAGAAUCAUUCAGGGUGCUUUGUCCUCCUGCACCUCAAAGCCCCAUCUACCCUUCACCAUUCCCAGUCUGCCGUGAGUGUGUUGUAACAAUCAGGACUCAAUGAGCCCAUGCUACUAAUGAUGUGCUGUGUCCCAGGGGGUGUUACGGGAAGAAAGGUUGAGAACUGCUGCAGUUCCACAAGGAAGGGGUUGUUCUGUCCCUCGUGCCUGGCCCAGUGGAAGGCACAGAGUAGGAGACAGUCAGGAAAUACGUGUAAGAUUGACUGGAGAUGAAAGGCUUAAGUCAAAAUGUACAUUAAGUCCCCAGGACAGAACAGGCAUGGGGUAAACCUGGACUGUCUUUCCCUCCACUUGCUGAAAUGGAGCGUCGUACCUGCCAUCCUUGUCACCCUUUAUCCCGCAGAUCGUUUUUAGGGGGAAGCCGUCUUCAGAAGAGGAACUUUAUUCAGGUUGUCUCUGAAAAAGUGGGACUGAAUCCCGGGAGGAGUCAAGACCGGAGGUGGAAAGGUGUAUUUUAUACUCAUUAUCUCUUCUAAGAGCACCAAGAUUCUGCCCUCAAGAGGUUUAUUUUCAGGAAAAUGACACAGAAAGGUAACUGCAUGGAAGCGAGACUGGGGACAAGGACUCGGGCAGGGAAGUGACUGCGGUAGUUCAAGCAAGUGGUCGUGAAAGCCUGGAACAGUGGUUUUCAAACUGCGGGUCACAACCUGACGUUGUUAGAAUUACUAGCGGAACAAAAUAAGCGAUAGUCACAUGUUAAAAAGAAAAAAUAACAACAGUGCUAAUGGCAACACAUCAAAGGAUUCAUCACAUGGGAAAGCAAAGAAAUCAUGCAGACAAGUAGAAAAAAGCCCACAAACACCUGUCUUUCCACAAUUUAAUGCAAUGGUGACAAUUUAGUUGCAGCAAAACAACAUCAACCAGGAUGUUAAUUCUGUGGAUUCACAUUGUGUUGAUUUAAUUUGACUUUGACUUAUAAAUUUGCUCUGGUUUUAUUGACAGAUGAGAGCCACAAUAAUUAUGCACACUUUAGCUGACAAAAUCUGAGAAAAAAAGACACACAAGGGAACUUUUACUCUAAAUACUUUCUAGUACUUAUAUUAAAAGCAUUAUACUUUCAUAAAUACGUGUAAGUUUCAUUAUAUUUCAUUUCUAGAACAUUUAUAAAUAUAUAAUAUAGAAACAUUAUAACCAGUUAUACUUGAAACCGAAUAUUCAGAUACUAAUAUUAAUCUGAAUAACAUACCUGGUUUGCCUUACUGAUGCCACGUUAUGGAAUCAACUGUUCUGACUUUCAGACACCAAAGUUAAGUCUAAAACUGAAGGCACAUAGUAAAUUUUGGCUGAAUACUGAAGUUGAAGCCAGACCUCAGUGGAUCCUAAAUUAUAAACAUAUGUGUACUUUUAAAUUUUUCACUCAGUGCCUUAUGACAUAUAUGUUUUAAAGUAGUUUGGACCCAUAAAAUUUAAUAUAGAAAGAGCAUUUGUAACACUGGUGAUUACUUUUCAAAAAUCAAAUUAUGGCGCUCUCUUUUUCAGUAUCUUUUAAGCAUAAAUUUACUGAAAAGCAAGAUUUUUUUUAAAUCAAGGAAAAGAAUAAGACUAUGUCUGGGGGAGGGGGGUAGCAUAUGUGUGGGAGGGAUAGGGGUCCAUGGAUAAGUAGCUUCCUGCAGUAAAGACCGUGGGCUUUACAUCCAUACGGUCUAUGUUCAAAAUUUACUUCCUCUUCUUUCUAGCUGAAUGAUCUUGGGGAAGUUAACUUAUUUUCCAGACAGUUGGUGUCUUUAUUUAUAAAACUGAGGCAAUAAAAUUGACCUUUCAGGGUUGUUGAUAAUAAUGUUCAAGUUAAUUUAUAUUGAUAAUAAUAAACAAGUUAAUUUAUGUAGAUGUGUAAUAACACAGAGGCCAUCACCUAGUAAACAGUCCAUAAUGUGUGGGGCAGUAAUUUCUUAGGGGAAAACAUUUUGAAGAGGCCCAGUGUAAGAUGUGAUCCAGCCUCUGCCUUUACUAAGCAAAGUACAUGAAUAUCUGGGUGCCUUUUCUGCCUUCUGUUUGGUGCUGUGACCAUCCACAGAACGGAAUUCUCCGGAGGCCAGAGAUGACUGAGCUCCUUAGAUGAGAAGUGUUGUGACAAAGAACAGUGAUGUUCCGACCGGUUCUGUCAUCAUCGUUGCAAAUGCGCCACACGGGAAGACUUUGAUUUCACCACCCUCGUUGUCUCCUGAGCUUUUGGCUCAGACAGCUGCUGGAGCCAGCGCCUCCCGUGUCCCUCAGAGAGCUGUGAGCAUCGAACCAGAGCAGCCACAUAUGAACUCCUUCCUACAACCAGGAAAAUCCCGAGUCUGCUCAUUAUACCAAUCAUAUCUCUAGAAAAAUGGAGAAGUGGGGAGCACUUUGCAGGAGGUGGGCUGGAAUUCACCCCGUUCUGCACAAAUUUCAGUUUCUUCCCUGUGAAGUUCAGUCCCUGACCUGCAGUCUGGGAGAACUGGGAUUGUUUCCAUUAUUGUUACCAUCAGCAGCCACGUUGUUACUUACACUGUACAAAGAUGUUUCUUCUUGUCUUGAAAUAGGGCAAAUGCAGUGUGAGGAACGAUCAUUAAAAGUAAAAAUAUGCCCCCUCAUUUUUCUAAGAUAAUGCUUUAGAAAACGUCGUUGGUCAUCUAAGACAAAGCUUAGUUAGGUGAUUUAAUUGUCACUUUCAAGAAUUUACCAAAAAUCUCGUUUUAGAUUAUUUCAGUAUUUCUAUGGCAAGAAUUGUCAUUGUAUCUUGUUUAAUUAAUGUAUUUGCUGUUUUGCUACAACUGUGUCCUCUUUUGGAAUGUUUGUUUUUUUCAUAGAAUGUUAAAUACAUUUAUUUCAUAAGUACCGGGAGAAAAUGAGAACACUUUCAAGAGCUGGACACCUGCUGUAUUUCAUGCAUCAUGCCAGCAAAAACAACCAACAACAAGCCAGUAAAGGGAGGACCAGGGAGACACAACGUCUGCCAAGAGACGGCCAACAAAACUGGUGAAAGAGGAGGACUCGGAUUAUUCUGUCUUCUCCUGCCCCUUGGGUGCCCCACAAGCCAUUCAACUUCAGCAGAGCAUUAUUUGCACCUGCCUUAUUGAGGAAGCAGACAUCAGGCAACAUGGGCUUUCCUUCACCAUGAAUUUCCUUGGGUCGCUGAAGAGAAAGGAGCUCACUUCCUGUCCAGGGAAGCCUUCUCGACUAUGCGUGAUCUCAUCCUCUCUAGUCCUCUCCAUGGCCUUGCUCUCCGUCAGUCAUCCUUCCAUGAAGUUCCAGUCACCCUGACCGGCCUGACUUCUCCUCAACCUGUAAAUAUUUUAUUUUCCCCUUCCCUGUCCUAAUGUCCCAUCUACUUUUCUUCAUUACCAACCCUUCACUUUUCAAAUCUAGGUCUACUCCUUCUACUCGCCUAAAUUGGUUCUCCUGGAAGUCCCAUGGCUUCCAAACCCACUGGCCUUUUCUCUGUUCUUACCUGUCUGACCUCAGGAGCAUCUGACUGUUGACCAUCUACUUCUGCUGAAAUUCUCUUCCUUCAGGUCUUGGACUCCCCUCUCCGACCUUUGACCUCACUGUGCUUCACAGACUUUUCUUUCUCUUCCACCAACUAAAUGAGUGCUGCUAAGGGUCUUUCCUGACCCUCUUUUAUCUCACUCUCUUUGUGCUCUCUUUUGGAGAGUUUAUCUCAAUUCUUUCCCCCUUUUGGAAAUGAUUCCAAAAACUCUUGUUUCCUAUCCUUACUUCUCUCCUAUUUCAGUGCCUGAAUUUCCAAUUGCCUGCUACACACCUCCACAUCCCCAAACAAUUUAAAAUUUAAAAUCAAAGCAAAAGGAGUCAUCCCAUCUCUGAACCUUGCGCAUUUAGAUUAAUGCAUUUUCCUGCCUCCAGGAGCAUUUGGGAGCACAUUCAGCUCCCUUAUUUCUCUCAUUCCCUCCAUGAACUUGGUGAAAAAAGACCAGACUUUGGAACCAGAUUGACUUAGGUUGAAUCCCUCUUCUGCUGCUUUGAACUGUGACCUCGGGCUAAUUGCUUAAUCUCCCUGAGUUUCUUCAUCUGGAUUAAUCAAGUGCCCAUAUUUGCCCAACCUACAGAUUGUACCAAUUAAGUGAAAUGUUUCAUAAACCACCUUGAAUGUGCCUGA
Long non-coding RNA from Camelus dromedarius (Arabian camel), 7137 nucleotides. RefSeq lists it as uncharacterized. The transcript has 5 exons. NCBI's taxonomy places the organism in Eukaryota, Metazoa, Chordata, Mammalia, Artiodactyla, Camelidae. The record is from RefSeq and is a predicted model, not a curated record.